This 537-nucleotide transfer RNA is filed under the name uncultured Prochlorococcus sp. RNAcentral describes it as "partial 16S-23S ribosomal RNA intergenic spacer". The stretch from base 213 to 285 matches the Rfam family "tRNA". The record is from RNAcentral. Lineage: Bacteria; Bacillati; Cyanobacteriota; Cyanophyceae; Synechococcales; Prochlorococcaceae.
CAGGGAGACAACAAAAUGUUUAAUAUUAUUAUUUUGUCACCUUAGGUCGAUCGGUACCUCACAUUCUUAAUUUAUUAAGGAUUUUAUUUCCUAAGUUUUUUCUAGGUCACACCCAUUACUUUUCCUGGGCCAUUAGCUCAGGUGGUUAGAGCGCACCCCUGAUAAGGGUGAGGUCCCUGGUUCAAGUCCAGGAUGGCCCAUAUCUCUAUGUUGGGGGUAUAGCUCAGUUGGUAGAGCGCCUGCUUUGCAAGCAGGAUGUCAGCGGUUCGAGUCCGCUUACCUCCACUGAUUACCACCUCUUCCAUAAUUAUUAAGGAAAUGUUUUGAGUAGUGNUCAAAUUCUGAACGAAUCUAGCUUCCUAAUGAAUUCAUUAAGAUGCUGGACUCAUUGAAUUAUUUUCAUUGUUUUCANAGAACCUUGACAACUGCAUAGAUUAUUUUUAAAGACAAUAAGCAUCUUUAUGAUGCAGAUUUAUUAUUUGUGCGAAUGCAUUAAUAACAAUUCUAUUAAGCUGAUGCUUCAAUUAUGAAGUCAUU